This 300-nucleotide long non-coding RNA is filed under the name Gallus gallus (chicken). Its description in RNAcentral is "long non-coding RNA NONGGAT008242". The record is from RNAcentral. Lineage: Eukaryota; Metazoa; Chordata; Aves; Galliformes; Phasianidae.
CGUAGAGAGCGUCACGGCGCCGGGCGGGACAUUUUUAUCGAGGGCUGUGUAAUCUCGGAGACACGUCAUGAAGCAAGAACAGGGAGGGUUUCAGCAUUUUCACUGACAACGACAGAAUAUCAGAAUUAGCAGCAAAUAACGUUAACAUGGGUGCAAAAAACGUUGUGUAACGCUACAAAGAUUGCUGGAAGUUGCACUGAUGACAGAUUGCUGUGGUACAUCCCUUCCUUUCAACUGUCCUGAGGGUUCUACCAUCGAGAGAGCACUACAGCUGUCUGGUCCGGUUCUGAAGAUCCGUGA